Molecule: ribosomal RNA, 117 nt
Organism: Sinocyclocheilus grahami
Lineage: Eukaryota; Metazoa; Chordata; Actinopteri; Cypriniformes; Cyprinidae
Source: Ensembl
AAUGGUUGCCAUAUCACCCUGUAGCCCAAGACUGGUUGCCCACUGAAGCUAAGCAGGGUUGAGCCUGGUCAGUACCUGGAUGGGAGACCUCCUGGGAAAACUAGGUUGCUGCUGGAA